RNAcentral lists this ribosomal RNA (255 nucleotides) under uncultured bacterium. RNAcentral's name for it is "partial 16S ribosomal RNA". It matches the Rfam family "Bacterial small subunit ribosomal RNA", at positions 99 to 354 of the family's 1533-position model. The record is from RNAcentral.
CGGACGGGUGAGUAACGCGUGGGUAACCUGCCCUAUACAGGGGGAUAACAGUUAGAAAUGACUGCUAAUACCGCAUAAGCGCACAGGACCGCAUGGUUCGGUGUGAAAAACUGAGGUGGUNUAGGAUGGACCCGCGUCUGAUUAGCUUGUUGGUGGGGUAACGGCUCACCAAGGCGACGAUCAGUAGCCGGCCUGAGAGGGCGACCGGCCACAUUGGGACUGAGACACGGCCCAAACUCCUACGGAAGGCAGCAG